GGUGUAGGCGGAACGGCAAGUACUUUGUGAAAGCCCCGGUCUCAACCCGGGAAUCGCUUGGUAGACUGCCGUUCUUGAGGCAGGCAGGGGGUCACUGGAACCUUAGGUGGAGCGGUGAAAUGCGUAGAGAUCUAAGGGAACGCCUGUGGCGAAAGCGGGUGACUGGGACUGUUCUGACGCUGAGACCCGAAAGCGUAGGGAGCAAACGGGAUUAGAUACCCCGGUAGUCUACGCCGUAAACGAUGCGCACUAGGUACGAGAGCUACUGACAGUUUUCGUGCCGGAACAAAAGCGAUAAGUGCGCCGCCUGGGGAGUACGGCCGCAAGGCUAAA
RNAcentral lists this ribosomal RNA (333 nucleotides) under uncultured bacterium. Its description in RNAcentral is "bacterial SSU rRNA". It matches the Rfam family "Bacterial small subunit ribosomal RNA", at positions 568 to 898 of the family's 1533-position model. The record is from RNAcentral.